Molecule: ribosomal RNA, 2894 nt
Filed under: Escherichia coli
Lineage: Bacteria; Pseudomonadati; Pseudomonadota; Gammaproteobacteria; Enterobacterales; Enterobacteriaceae
Description: partial 23S ribosomal RNA
Rfam family: Bacterial large subunit ribosomal RNA
Source: RNAcentral
GUUAAGCGACUAAGCGUACACGGUGGAUGCCCUGGCAGUCAGAGGCGAUGAAGGACGUGCUAAUCUGCGAUAAGCGUCGGUAAGGUGAUAUGAACCGUUAUAACCGGCGAUUUCCGAAUGGGGAAACCCAGUGUGUUUCGACACACUAUCAUUAACUGAAUCCAUAGGUUAAUGAGGCGAACCGGGGGAACUGAAACAUCUAAGUACCCCGAGGAAAAGAAAUCAACCGAGAUUCCCCCAGUAGCGGCGAGCGAACGGGGAGCAGCCCAGAGCCUGAAUCAGUAUGUGUGUUAGUGGAAGCGUCUGGAAAGGCGCGCGAUACAGGGUGACAGCCCCGUACACAAAAAUGCACAUGCUGUGAGCUCGAUGAGUAGGGCGGGACACGUGGUAUCCUGUCUGAAUAUGGGGGGACCAUCCUCCAAGGCUAAAUACUCCUGACUGACCGAUAGUGAACCAGUACCGUGAGGGAAAGGCGAAAAGAACCCCGGCGAGGGGAGUGAAAAAGAACCUGAAACCGUGUACGUACAAGCAGUGGGAGCACGCUUAGGCGUGUGACUGCGUACCUUUUGUAUAAUGGGUCAGCGACUUAUAUUCUGUAGCAAGGUUAACCGAAUAGGGGAGCCGAAGGGAAACCGAGUCUUAACUGGGCGUUAAGUUGCAGGGUAUAGACCCGAAACCCGGUGAUCUAGCCAUGGGCAGGUUGAAGGUUGGGUAACACUAACUGGAGGACCGAACCGACUAAUGUUGAAAAAUUAGCGGAUGACUUGUGGCUGGGGGUGAAAGGCCAAUCAAACCGGGAGAUAGCUGGUUCUCCCCGAAAGCUAUUUAGGUAGCGCCUCGUGAAUUCAUCUCCGGGGGUAGAGCACUGUUUCGGCAAGGGGGUCAUCCCGACUUACCAACCCGAUGCAAACUGCGAAUACCGGAGAAUGUUAUCACGGGAGACACACGGCGGGUGCUAACGUCCGUCGUGAAGAGGGAAACAACCCAGACCGCCAGCUAAGGUCCCAAAGUCAUGGUUAAGUGGGAAACGAUGUGGGAAGGCCCAGACAGCCAGGAUGUUGGCUUAGAAGCAGCCAUCAUUUAAAGAAAGCGUAAUAGCUCACUGGUCGAGUCGGCCUGCGCGGAAGAUGUAACGGGGCUAAACCAUGCACCGAAGCUGCGGCAGCGACGCUGAUGCGUUGUUGGGUAGGGGAGCGUUCUGUAAGCCUGCGAAGGUGUGCUGUGAGGCAUGCUGGAGGUAUCAGAAGUGCGAAUGCUGACAUAAGUAACGAUAAAGCGGGUGAAAAGCCCGCUCGCCGGAAGACCAAGGGUUCCUGUCCAACGUUAAUCGGGGCAGGGUGAGUCGACCCCUAAGGCGAGGCCGAAAGGCGUAGUCGAUGGGAAACAGGUUAAUAUUCCUGUACUUGGUGUUACUGCGAAGGGGGGACGGAGAAGGCUAUGUUGGCCGGGCGACGGUUGUCCCGGUUUAAGCGUGUAGGCUGGUUUUCCAGGCAAAUCCGGAAAAUCAAGGCUGAGGCGUGAUGACGAGGCACUACGGUGCUGAAGCAACAAAUGCCCUGCUUCCAGGAAAAGCCUCUAAGCAUCAGGUAACAUCAAAUCGUACCCCAAACCGACACAGGUGGUCAGGUAGAGAAUACCAAGGCGCUUGAGAGAACUCGGGUGAAGGAACUAGGCAAAAUGGUGCCGUAACUUCGGGAGAAGGCACGCUGAUAUGUAGGUGAAGUCCCUCGCGGAUGGAGCUGAAAUCAGUCGAAGAUACCAGCUGGCUGCAACUGUUUAUUAAAAACACAGCACUGUGCAAACACGAAAGUGGACGUAUACGGUGUGACGCCUGCCCGGUGCCGGAAGGUUAAUUGAUGGGGUUAGCGCAAGCGAAGCUCUUGAUCGAAGCCCCGGUAAACGGCGGCCGUAACUAUAACGGUCCUAAGGUAGCGAAAUUCCUUGUCGGGUAAGUUCCGACCUGCACGAAUGGCGUAAUGAUGGCCAGGCUGUCUCCACCCGAGACUCAGUGAAAUUGAACUCGCUGUGAAGAUGCAGUGUACCCGCGGCAAGACGGAAAGACCCCGUGAACCUUUACUAUAGCUUGACACUGAACAUUGAGCCUUGAUGUGUAGGAUAGGUGGGAGGCUUUGAAGUGUGGACGCCAGUCUGCAUGGAGCCGACCUUGAAAUACCACCCUUUAAUGUUUGAUGUUCUAACGUUGACCCGUAAUCCGGGUUGCGGACAGUGUCUGGUGGGUAGUUUGACUGGGGCGGUCUCCUCCUAAAGAGUAACGGAGGAGCACGAAGGUUGGCUAAUCCUGGUCGGACAUCAGGAGGUUAGUGCAAUGGCAUAAGCCAGCUUGACUGCGAGCGUGACGGCGCGAGCAGGUGCGAAAGCAGGUCAUAGUGAUCCGGUGGUUCUGAAUGGAAGGGCCAUCGCUCAACGGAUAAAAGGUACUCCGGGGAUAACAGGCUGAUACCGCCCAAGAGUUCAUAUCGACGGCGGUGUUUGGCACCUCGAUGUCGGCUCAUCACAUCCUGGGGCUGAAGUAGGUCCCAAGGGUAUGGCUGUUCGCCAUUUAAAGUGGUACGCGAGCUGGGUUUAGAACGUCGUGAGACAGUUCGGUCCCUAUCUGCCGUGGGCGCUGGAGAACUGAGGGGGGCUGCUCCUAGUACGAGAGGACCGGAGUGGACGCAUCACUGGUGUUCGGGUUGUCAUGCCAAUGGCACUGCCCGGUAGCUAAAUGCGGAAGAGAUAAGUGCUGAAAGCAUCUAAGCACGAAACUUGCCCCGAGAUGAGUUCUCCCUGACUCCUUGAGAGUCCUGAAGGAACGUUGAAGACGACGACGUUGAUAGGCCGGGUGUGUAAGCGCAGCGAUGCGUUGAGCUAACCGGUACUAAUGAACCGUGAGG